CAUGAGAAAGGUGGUAAACCUGUUAAUGAAGUUGUUGGUGCCAUAUUGGAAGGUUUAAAAGAGUGUAAUGAGUCACAGGAGAACCCACCAUCUGCAAAUUCCAUAAGGGAUGAUGCACUUACAAGAGUUUUAGGACCUGAAACUCGUGGACGAGUUCGUGGGCUUAGGUUUGGUGCUACACCAUCUCGAGUCAAUGCUACUAUUCAAGGGAGUGCAAAGGUUAAAGAACUUGAAGCUACUGUAUUAAGUCAAUCACAGAGGCUUGCUCAGGUUGAAGCAAAGCUUGAAGCUCUUUUAAAGGCCACUCAGG
RNAcentral lists this long non-coding RNA (310 nucleotides) under Rosa chinensis. RNAcentral's name for it is "sRNA RchiOBHm_Chr4g0428581". The record is from RNAcentral. Lineage: Eukaryota; Viridiplantae; Streptophyta; Magnoliopsida; Rosales; Rosaceae.